CUGCACUCAUCUGUGUGUGUGUAUUCAGUUCUAAACAAUGUCAUCACACGUACACAUGUGUAUCCACCAUCACAAUCUAGAUCUGAACAGUUGUUACCAUAAAGAUCCCUCAUGUCACCUUUUAGAAGCACCUACCAUCCUGUGACCCCCCCCAUCCCGAACCCCUGAUGGCCACCACCCUCUCCCCACUUGUACAGUUUUGCCAAUAAGCAAAUGUGAGAGAGAUGGAAUCACCCUGUGUGUGACCCCCGGCAUUGGCUUUUUCCACUCAGGGCAGUUUCCCUGGACGCAUCCACAUUGGCAUGUGUAUCAAUGGUCUGUCCCCUUUAUUGCUGAGCAGUAUUCCGCGGUCUGGACGUACCAGGGUUCGUUUUAACCGUUCACCUGCUAAAGGCUGUCCAGGCCGUUUCCAGUUUGGGGCUCUUGUGAACACAGCUGCUGUGAACAAGUGUGUGCAGGUGUCUGUGCAGACAGAAGUUUGAUUCCUCUGGAUCAACACGCGAGGGCGCAGCGGCUAGGUCGUAUGACAGUUGGAUCAACACGCGAGGGCGCAGCGGCUAGGUCGUAUGACAGUUGGAUCAACACGCGAGGGCGCAGCGGCUAGGUCGUAUGACAGUUGGAUCAACACGCGAGGGCGCAGCGGCUAGGUCGUAUGACAGUUGGAUCAACACGCGAGGGCGCAGCGGCUAGGUCGUAUGACAGUUGGAUCAACACGCGAGGGCGCAGCGGCUAGGUCGUAUGACAGUUGGAUCAACACGCGAGGGCGCAGCGGCUAGGUCGUAUGACAGUUGGAUCAACACGCGAGGGCGCAGCGGCUAGGUCGUAUGACAGUUGGUCAUUUCGUUUUAAGAAACUGCCCAUCGGUUUUCCAGAGUGGCUGUACCACUUGACAUUCCCACCAGCAACGUCUAAGACCAGCUUCUCCACAUCUUGUCACUGGCAACUUGUGUUCAUUCAUCCAACAGGAGCUUUCAUACUGAAGGGCGUACACAGCAACACACAAGUCAACAAACUGAUCAUGGCAUUACUUUGAUAAUCAGACAUGCAAAUGAGCAAUACGGCUUCACAAGGUUAAGCUCAUCCCAGGACACAGAGAGCAACAGUCCUCAUCCACGGCUGCACCCUGGAAACAUCUGAGUGAUGGAUGCACACGGCUCCUCAAAGGUACAUGAGUGGUGACGUGCGGUGGUGCCACGUCUCUGAGCUGGGAAUCUCCUUCCUGUUGACUGGAGGAAGCCGUGAUGUCCCACAGUCUGGGGUCCUGAUACACGGGAGAGGCCGGCACAGAGCGGAAGAUGCCGAGGGGCUGCGGAAAGGGCAGCAAAGAGCAGCCACUGCAAGUGAAGCCCAGAAGGAGACAAGUGAUGAGCCAAACGGGUCAUGAGACCAGCCCACCGACAGCCACGUCCAUUCUGAGGGGAGUACCAUCCUUAUCCUGGACCCAGGGCAAGGGAUGCAGAGUCUGAGAGACAACUCCGGGGCCACCAGAUCACAGACCACAGGCUGUCUUCUGGAAGGCUGCAGUGAUCCACACGUCCUCCAGCAACUUGGGAGAGCUCUUGGCUGAGCUCAUUAACGUCCUACAUUUUCCUCCUUCCAGGCUGCCCCUCCCCCACCAGUCUUCUUUCUCUGACAUGGUAUGAGCCGAGCCGAGCCACAUCAGUCUCACCUGCUCGCGGCCCGUGAGCCCUCCCAGUCUACAGCCCUUGGGCAGGCACAGGGCAAACUCCAGAGAUGCUCACUUUCCCGGCUCGGCCUGGCCAGUACCUCCCAGAAGCCCAAGAGAGAAACCCAAGCCAGGGUGGGAGCGACGUCUUCCAGGACCUGAGGGCGCAGAUGGCAGAGACAGUGGCAGGGCUGGCUCCUCACAUGCUCGCAGGGCACGCUGUUCUAAACUCACGCUGGCUGAGCUGCCCUCACAAGCCAGCAGCCCAGGGGCCCCCACACGCCCACAGCCUCUUAGCAAGGGCGAGGGAAGCCUGAAGCAGCUGCUGCCCCAGGACCUGCCCUCUCAGGAGCAAGGCCAGAGACGGCAGACAGGAGGGAACGGGCAACAAAGAACACGGGAGAGUCAAGUUCGUACAAACAAGAGGCCUUCUCGUUCACAUGCUCCGGGCCGGUCAUGCUCUAGGCUGGACCAGAACCAAAAGGCUUGCCAGCCACUGCUCCUAAGCUCCACUGUGACUCACGCGACAGGAAAACAAAGCUGACCCAGCGCAGACAGCCGGGCCCCAAGUACGGCUGCAACUCCAAAGAAACGCACCUGCCAGAGAUGAACCUGCAGAACGGACGGCACCGGGCGCGGCCAGAGGAGAAAACAGCUCAGGGGAAGGUGGGAGAGGGGACGGCGUGAAAAAAACUCUUAAAAUCGUCCGCCAGUCCACACGAUCCAGGUCCCGUGCUGCCCUCCGCAACCCACACCCUGGCCUGAGCGGAGCUCGGUGCCCAAGGCCCCAGCCUUGUUGCUGUGGCUCCCGCUUCCUGGAACACUCUUGCCCUUGACCCCUUACUGAGCCUUAAAGCUCAGUUAGCAAGGGCGCGUGCACGUAGGGGCUGGCUGGAGCGGCCUCUGAGUGCCCAUUAGCAGGGAUGGGCUGAAAAGUGUGACUCACACACACAAUGGGAUCCUUUAUGUCUCUUUGUCACUCACCCUCCACGGCAAGUCCGUUAGCGAGUUCUGUUGCCACAACCUCCAAAAUGAUCCUGAAUUCACUUCCUUCCCCAUCCUUCCUAGGCCAAGCGACCACCAUCAUUUUUCACCUGGACAGCUCCAUCAGAUCCUCUGCUGGUCUCCCCAAAUCCACUCUUGCCUUCCUAGAUUCGAUGCUCCACACACAGCCAGAGAGAUCAAAUCAAACAGGGAUCACACCAGAUUGCUUUCCUGCUUAAAAUCUCUCAACAGCUCUCGAACCUCAUCUCCUUCCACUUUACCCAUCACCCAAAUGCUCCUACUGCACUGGCUUUCUUUCCCUUCCAAGCUCAUUCCUGCCCCAGGGCCUUUGCACAUUUUACCUUUGCUCUUCUCAAGGCUGGUUUCUUCCUGCCAGUCAGGUCUCCCCAUGACUGUACACAGUGGUGAGUAGGCAUGAGACCUAACUACGCACAGUGACAGGGACGUCUCACAGACAUAAUGCUGAACAGAAAGGCCAGGCACAAAGGAGCAUUUACAUAAAGUUCAAAGUGAAAUGUCAAGAGAGUGGUUUUGCUCGGAAGGGAGGAAUGACUGGAAGGGGCAGAAAGGGGACUUUAGGGGCUGGAAAUACUGUUUUUCCGAGCUGGCUACAUGGGUGUGUUCAGGGUGUGAAUGUGCAUCUAACUACACAUCUUUGACAUGUGUGCUUGCCUUUUUCUGCAUUACAUGAUAGUUUAAUUAAAAC
RNAcentral lists this long non-coding RNA (3377 nucleotides) under Equus asinus (donkey). RNAcentral describes it as "lncRNA (ENSEASG00005033417.1)". Lineage: Eukaryota; Metazoa; Chordata; Mammalia; Perissodactyla; Equidae. The record is from RNAcentral.